AGAUGCUCAUCCCACUUAUUAUGAUAGCCUGGUUUUUAUAGCCAAUUUAGCUUCAUAAACCCAGGGAUGACGCAGAGCCGAUUUUAGGGUGCCUAUUGUCCAUGUAAACGAUGUUGAAUAUCUUCAUCACAUACCGGGCAUAACGUUGAGUGAGGCACCGACAU
This 164-nucleotide unclassified non-coding RNA is filed under the name Yersinia enterocolitica subsp. enterocolitica. RNAcentral's name for it is "Glm Y RNA activator of glmS mRNA". It matches the Rfam family "GlmZ RNA activator of glmS mRNA", at positions 3 to 156 of the family's 214-position model. From Rfam's summary of the family: This RNA was discovered in E. coli during a large scale screen. The sraJ gene was expressed in early logarithmic phase, but its level decreased with cell growth. Specific cleavage products of this RNA were found. Lineage: Bacteria; Pseudomonadati; Pseudomonadota; Gammaproteobacteria; Enterobacterales; Yersiniaceae. RNAcentral also lists the same sequence under 5 other names. The record is from RNAcentral.